AUUGAACGCUGGCGGCAGGCCUAACACAUGCAAGUCGAACGAGUGGCGGACGGGUGAGUAAUGUCUGGGAAACUGCCCGAUGGAGGGGGAUAACUACUGGAAACGGUAGCUAAUACCGCAUACCAUCGGAUGUGCCCAGAUGGGAUUAGCUAGUAGGUGGGGUAACGGCUCAUCUAGGCGACGAUCCCUAGCUGGUCUGAGAGGGUGACCGGCCACACUGGGACUGAGACACGGUCCAGACUCCUACGGGAGGCAGCAGUAGGGAAUAUUGCACAAUGGGCGCAAGCCUGAUGGAGCCAUGCCGCGUGUAUGAAGAAGGCCUUCGGGUUGUAAAGUACUUUCAGCGGGGAGGCGGUACUCGCAGAAGAAGCCCCGGCUAACUCCGUGCCAGCAGCCGCGGUAAUAC
RNAcentral lists this ribosomal RNA (406 nucleotides) under uncultured bacterium. RNAcentral's name for it is "partial 16S ribosomal RNA". It matches the Rfam family "Bacterial small subunit ribosomal RNA", at positions 30 to 526 of the family's 1533-position model. The record is from RNAcentral.